UUUUAAUACUGUCGGUCUUGAGUAUGGGAGAGGGAGAUGGAAUUCCCAGGUGUAGCGGUGGAAUGCGUAGAAUAUCUGGGAAGAACACCAGUUGCGAAGGGCGGUCUCCUGGACCAAUACUGACGCUGAUGCUCGAAAGCUGGGGGAGCGAACAGGAUUAGAUACCCUGGUAGUCCCAGCCGUAAACGAUGGACACUAGUUUGCCGGAGGAGUCAAAUCCCCUUCGGUGACGAAGCUAACGCAUUAAGUGUCCCGCCUGGGGAGUACGCUCGCAAGGGUGAAACUCAAAGGAAUUGACGGGGGCCCGCACAAGCGGUGGAGCAUGUGCUUUAAUUCGAUGCAACGCGAAGAACCUUACCUGGGUUUGACAUGGGGGUGAAAGUUUCCAGAGAUGGAAGCCUUUCCUUCGGGAACACCCCACACAGGUGCUGCAUGGUUGUCGUCAGCUCGUGUCGUGAGAUGUUGGGUUAAGUCCCGCAACGAGCGCAACCCCUGCCCUUAGUUGCCAUCAGGUAAAGCUGGGAACUCUAAGGGGACAGCUUGGUAUAACCAGGAGGAAGGUGGGGAUGACGUCAAAUCAUCAUGGCUCUUACGCCCAGGGCUAGACACGUGCUACAAUGGCAGGUACAGUGGGAUGCCAGCCUGCGAAGGUGAGCUAAUCCCUUAAAACCUGUCUCAGUCCGGAUUGGAGUCUGCAACUCGACUCCAUGAAGUUGGAAUCGCUAGUAAUCGCGGAUCAGCACGCCGCGGUGAAUACGUUCCCGGG
Molecule: ribosomal RNA, 766 nt
Filed under: uncultured organism
Description: bacterial SSU rRNA
Rfam family: Bacterial small subunit ribosomal RNA
Source: RNAcentral